GGAACAAAACACUCUUUCCGAUACACAGACAACCAAGACUUAAGAUUAUUGACGUGUAAAUGAGAACGUUGCAAACUCUUAUGAGAAAAUCAGCGCAAAUACUAUAAACUUUACAUUACAAGCACAUUUAAAGCAUCGUGAAUUGAAGAUAACUUUUCGCAAUAGUCAAUAAAAUAGCACACACAAAACAACGUUCAUGUUCGCUGUAUAUGUUGAAGUGGCGCGUACGUAUUUUGUUAAUGAUACAGAAGUGCACACUGAUAGCCAAAGGACCUUGUUGUGCGUAUGAAUUGAAUUCAGCGUAACACUGUGUGAAUAACAAUUUCCGUACUUCGUUCGUGUGUCGCGACUGACUUCAUGUGGGGAACAUCAGCCAAUAACCGGACAUUGGUACUUUCAAUUCUGCCCCGGGUCAUUCAAAGCGCAUAGCCACGCGCUAUGAAGAAAAAGGAAGAGAGCUGAUGGAAUCUAAAGACCAAUGUAAAGAUAAUUUUGGCUGUGGCUGCAGUGAUAAGGUGGCACUGGCAGUCUGGAGUGAGACAGAGAGAAACGAGGCCUGACCUGCACAGAUGGAGAGAGUGUGAGCUGUGCCACUGUCCUCAUCGCCGCUUCAUGUCCAGUUCCACAAACUGCACUGCGAAACAUCAUGUGUGCGUUUACGUUAAGGUGGGAGUGUUGAGAAGAUGGCGGAAGAACGAGGAUUACAAAUGUGUCUUAAAAAUAAUGGAUAGUUUUCUUAACUACACAAAUAAAGGUUAUUUUGAUGACACAA
Danio rerio (zebrafish) is the source of this 772-nucleotide long non-coding RNA. Lineage: Eukaryota; Metazoa; Chordata; Actinopteri; Cypriniformes; Danionidae. The record is from Ensembl.